UACAGAGGGGGCAAGCGUUAUUCGGAAUUAUUGGGCGUAAAGAGCGUGUAGGCGGUCCGGUAAGUCAGCUGUGAAAGUCAAGGGCUCAACCCUUGAAUGCCGGUUGAUACUGUCGGGCUAGAGUCCGGAAGAGGCGAGUGGAAUUCCUGGUGUAGCGGUGGAAUGCGCAGAUAUCAGGAGGAGCACCGGUGGCGAAGGCGGGUCUCUGGGCAGUAACUGACGCUGAGGAGCGAAAGCGUGGGGAGCAAACAGG
RNAcentral lists this ribosomal RNA (253 nucleotides) under uncultured bacterium. RNAcentral's name for it is "partial 16S ribosomal RNA". It matches the Rfam family "Bacterial small subunit ribosomal RNA", at positions 524 to 776 of the family's 1533-position model. The record is from RNAcentral.